RNAcentral lists this ribosomal RNA (621 nucleotides) under uncultured bacterium. Its description in RNAcentral is "bacterial SSU rRNA". It matches the Rfam family "Bacterial small subunit ribosomal RNA", at positions 202 to 842 of the family's 1533-position model. The record is from RNAcentral.
CAAAGGAGAAAUCCGCUGAGAGAUGGGCUCGCGUCCAAUUAGCUAGUUGGCGGGGUAAAGGCCCACCAAGGCGACGAUUGGUAGCCGGACUGAGAGGUUGAACGGCCACAUUGGGACUGAGACACGGCCCAGACUCCUACGGGAGGCAGCAGUGGGGAAUAUUGCACAAUGGGGGGAACCCUGAUGCAGCGACGCCGCGUGAGGGAAGAAGGUUUUCGGAUUGUAAACCUCUGUCCUCUGUGACGAUAAUGACGGUAGCAGAGGAGGAAGCCACGGCUAACUACGUGCCAGCAGCCGCGGUAAUACGUAGGUGGCGAGCGUUAUCCGGAAUUACUGGGUGUAAAGGGAGCGUAGGCGGGGGAACAAGUUGAAUGUUUAAGAUAUGGGCUCAACUCAUAUAAGCGUUCAAAACUGUUUUUCUUGAGUGAAGUAGAGGUAAGCGGAAUUCCUAGUGUAGCGGUGGAAUGCGUAAAUAUUAGGAGGAACACCAGUGGCGAAGGCGGCUUACUGGGCUUUAACUGACGCUGAGGCUCGAAAGCGUGGGUAGCAAACAGGAUUAGAUACCCUGGUAGUCCACGCUGUAAACGAUGAUUACUAGGUGUGGGGGGACUGAACCCUUCC